UCCCUGGCGGUCUAAUGGUUAGGACUCGACAUUUUCAUUGUUGCAGCCCAGGUUCCAUCCCUGGUCUGGGAA
Molecule: non-coding RNA, 72 nt
Organism: Sus scrofa (pig)
Lineage: Eukaryota; Metazoa; Chordata; Mammalia; Artiodactyla; Suidae
Source: Rfam